Molecule: unclassified non-coding RNA, 2756 nt
Filed under: Hevea brasiliensis (rubber tree)
Lineage: Eukaryota; Viridiplantae; Streptophyta; Magnoliopsida; Malpighiales; Euphorbiaceae
Source: RNAcentral
GAAUUUGCAAAGUGAGGCAAAUUUGAAAGAGACAGAGAGAAUGAAAAGGGAAAACAGAUAGAAUGAGUAGCAAAUUCAAUGUUCCUUGACAUUGUUGCCUGUGAGGCAAAACCAUAAUAAAAAGAAAUAGACAAAAUAUGACACAGUACAUAUAACCCUAGCCACUAUGUUCUCUUAUACCCGCAACAGAAGAUAACACUCUCCCUUCGAUAUGAAGUCGAAAAGAAAAUCCUCCCUCAACAGAAGAUUACACUCUCCCUCACGACAAUACAAUAGAUAAGUCAGUUGCAACAUCAAUCAUCAACUUCUUCCCUGAUUUCCCUUACAAGUUCUGCCUUAUACUCAUCAAAUGUAUCUGGGAACUUUUCAACGGUCCCAUUCUCAACUAUCCAAAUUUCACUUCUUUCUUCAUCAUCACAAACUCUUGAUAUGAGCCUCGAGUCGUGACUGACUAACACAACUCCACCAGUGAACUCAUCAAGCGCAUCUGCCAAAGCAUCGAUACUCUGCAUAUCCAAAUGGUUUGUUGGUUCAUCUAACAGCAAGAUGUGAGGCUUUGACAUAGAAAUAGAUGUAAAUACAACUCUAGCUUUUUGUCCUCCGGACAACUUUAAAAUGGGGGUAAGAUGGUUAUGACUGGGAAGUCCAAAUUUUCCUAGCUUUGCACGAACAGCUUCUUGCUUACUAGGUCCUUCUUGAUCUGGGUGAAGACGAAGCAGGUACUGGACAGGUGUUUCAUCCAUUGUGAGAAGAUCAACAAAAUGCUGCGAGUACCGUCCAAUCCUCAACUUUUGGCUCCUGCGGGCUUCACCUUCUGUAGGAACUAAAUCACCUGCCAAGAGGUUAAGCAAGGUCGAUUUGCCUGCUCCAUUGGGCCCAACUAUAGCAACUCGAGUCCCCAUAUCAAUUCCAACAUCAACAUCAGAGAGCCUGAAGUCUGGUCGAUUAGGAUAACUGAAGCUGACCUCAAUUAGCUGAAGAAGUGGAGGUGUCAGUUCAGUAGGCUCAGGGAAGUGGAACUCCACAUUGUAGUCCCUCCACUUCUGAGGGGCUUCAGGUGGAGUUUCAUCUUCAUCAACCCUAUCCUUUCCUUUUUUCUUUGAUUCUUUGGAAGCUACAAAUUUGGCUCGGUCUUUUACCUUCUCCUGUUGUGCUCGACUUCCAGAUCUCUUGGCAGCUUUUAACUGCUUAUCAUAAAUCUCAAAUUUCUUGUUCAUCUCUUUGCGACGCUGCUCAUAACCACUUUCAAAAUCAUCAAAAUUUCCUCGGUAGACAUGAAGCUUCAUGUCAUGAAGAUGGAUAAUUUCAUUGCACACUGUGUUAAGGAAAUCCCUAUCAUGAGAAACAACAACAAGAGUUUUCUUCCACCUGCACAGGUACUCCUCCAACCAGAGAACAGCUCUCAGGUCAAGGUGGUUAGUGGGUUCAUCCAACAAUAAUAGAGUUGGCUGCACAAAAAGUGCCCUUGCUAAUGAAAUUCUCAUCCUCCAGCCACCGCUAAAUGACUGAGUUGGACGGCCCUGCAUUUCCCUGGUGAAACCCAACCCAGCAAGAAUCUUUGAUGCCUGAGCCUCAGCAGCAUCUGACCCCAAGAUCUGCAAUUUCUCAUACAAUUCAGCAAGCUUCUCUCCUGCAUCAUUUCCAUUUAUAUCAUCAUCUCCAUCCUCAUUACCAGUAGCAGACGUUGAAUUUUGCAAAGAAGCAACUUCUUGUCGAAUCUUGAGAAGCUCUUCAUUAGCUGCAACAACUGCUUCUAGAGCAGUUUUAUCGUCACCAACCACCUCUUGUUCAACCAGAAGUACAUCUAUGUUUUUAGGUACAGGAAUCUUUCUCCAAGCAAUAAGCUUUAACAAGGUGGACUUGCCCAUUCCAUUGGGCCCAACCAAACCAUAUCUCUUUCCGUGAGAUAUCUUCACUGAUGCAUUCUUUAGGAGUUCUUUCCCCCGUGCUGACACGGAAAAAUUAUCUAUUGUUAUAUCUUUGACAUUAGCAUCUGCUUCAUCUUCACCUUCGAGUACUGAAGCUCGGCUACCAAUAACAACAGUGAAAGCAUCAUGGUCAUCCUUAAGGGCCUCUUUUUUGGCCUGCUCUGCAGUAUAAGCAGCAAGUAAUUCCUUCUUUUCUCGCUUCUUAAGUUCUUUGUCUGUUACAGAGAUAUCAAGUAGCUUAGGUUCACCCCUUUGCUGCCUGCUCGAUUGCCUUUUGGCCCCAGCCUGCUGUUGCUCAUCCUCAGAGGCAUAAUCAUCCUCUUCAUCAGGAGGGAGAUCAAUCCCAUCAGUAUAAGAUGAAACUUUUGGAGCCCUUGCCUUGGCAGUGCUCAAGGAAGAUGUUGAUCCCCUUUUAGGUUUAUCAGGUUUCUGGUCCAUGUUGGCAAGCAAGGCCGCAACAGAUAUUUUCUCUUUCUUUCCAUCUUUGCUGCUUGCCUUUGAUCUAGUGGCUAGACCAGUCUCUUCUGUUUUCUUUUUUCCCAUUGUAGAAGUUACUCUGGGAAAAAUAUAAAUCUAUCGCCUACAGGAACAGGAUCAAAAUGAGGGGGAGUUAUCUGAGAAAGGGGAGGAGGACCAGGCAAGUGAGAGCGAGGUCCACGUGGAGGACUGGAGAGUGGGAAGGGAGGGAACUCGUGGUGUUUGCUGUUGCAGGCUUGCUUGCAAUGGCAGAGCCGCAGAGGACCAGAGAAACAGCGGAUGGAACGCCGGAGAGCCGGCGACGCAGGGAGCAGGAGCUGCCUAGCUGGGCUGCAGAAAAUGAAAUCGAAG